UACGUAGGGUGCAAGCGUUGUCCGGAAUUAUUGGGCGUAAAGAGCUCGUAGGCGGUCUGUCGCGUCGGAUGUGAAAAUCCAGGGCUCAACCCUGGACCUGCAUUCGAUACGGGCAGACUAGAGUUCGGCAGGGGAGACUGGAAUUCCUGGUGUAGCGGUGAAAUGCGCAGAUAUCAGGAGGAACACCGGUGGCGAAGGCGGUUCUCUGGGCCUGUACUGACGCUGAGGAGCGAAAGCGUGGGGAGCGAACAGG
Molecule: ribosomal RNA, 253 nt
Filed under: uncultured bacterium
Lineage: Bacteria
Description: partial 16S ribosomal RNA
Rfam family: Bacterial small subunit ribosomal RNA
Source: RNAcentral